AUAUGUAAUAGACCCGAAACCGGGUGACCUAUCCAUGGUCAGGAUGAAGCUAGAGUAAAAUCUAGUGGAGGUCCGAACUCAUAAGCGUUAAAAAGCCUCGGGAUGAACUGUGGAUAGCGGAGAAAUUCCAAUCGAACUCGGAGAUAGCUGGUUCUCCUCGAAAUAGCUUUAGGGCUAGCCUUGUGUAGUAGUAUAUGGGGGUAGAGCACUGACUGAGGUAGGGGCCUAACCAGGUUACCAAACUCUAUCAAACUCCGAAUACCGUAUAUGUAAGCACAGGAGUCAGACUGCGGGAGCUAAGUUCCGUGGUCAAAAGGGAAAGAGCCCAGAUCGUCAAUUAAGGUCCCAAAGAUAUAGUUAAGUGGAAAACGAUGUGAUUUUGCGUAAACAACCAGGAUGUUGGCUUAGAAGCAGCCAUUCAUUCAAAGAGUGCGUAAUAGCUCACUGGUCGAGUGAAGUUGCGCGGAAAAUUACCGGGGCUAAACUAUACACCGAAAUUGCGGAUUUGCAUAGAAAUAUGUAAGUGGUAGAGGAGCAUUCUAUAGUAGGACGAAGCAUAAUCGAAAGGAUAUGUGGACGAGAUAGAAGAGAGAAUGCCGGAAUAAGUAGCGAAAGCAUGGUGAGAAUCCAUGCCAUCGAAAGUCUAAGGUUUCCUGGGGAAGGUUCGUCCGCCCAGGGUAAGUCGGGACCUAAGGAGAGGCCGAAAAGCGUAUCCGAUGGACAGCAGGUAGAAAUUCCUGCACUACGUAAUACUUAAAAGACAUAAAUGACACAGGAGUGGAAGAUAAGCGAGGAAGAGGAAAGACUCGUAUCGAAAGAUAUAGUGAAAAUUAAAGUAACGAAUUAUCAAGAAGCUAAUGGCGAGAAAAGUUUAUGGAUAUUGUAUUAAGUACCCGUACCGCAAACCGACACAGGUAGAUGAGGAGAAGAUCCUAAGAUGAGCGAGAGAAGCAUUGUUAAGGAACUCGGCAAAUUGACCCCGUAACUUCGGAAUAAGGGGUGCUGGAGUAGAAUCCAGUCGCAGAGAAUAGUCCCAAGCAACUGUUUAACAAAAACACAGGUUUCUGCUAAAUCGAAAGAUGAAGUAUAGGAGCUGACACCUGCCCAGUGCUGGGAGGUUAAGGGAAAGAGUUAGACGCAAGUCGAAGCUUAGAACUAAAGCCCCAGUGAACGGCGGCCGUAACUAUAACGGUCCUAAGGUAGCGAAAUUCCUUGUCAGGUAAGUUCUGACCCGCACGAAAGGUGUAAUGA
RNAcentral lists this ribosomal RNA (1251 nucleotides) under metagenome. RNAcentral describes it as "bacterial LSU rRNA". It matches the Rfam family "Bacterial large subunit ribosomal RNA", at positions 702 to 2007 of the family's 2925-position model. The record is from RNAcentral.